RNAcentral lists this ribosomal RNA (253 nucleotides) under uncultured bacterium. RNAcentral describes it as "partial 16S ribosomal RNA". It matches the Rfam family "Bacterial small subunit ribosomal RNA", at positions 524 to 776 of the family's 1533-position model. The record is from RNAcentral.
GACAGGGGGUGCAAGCGUUGCUCGGAAUCAUUGGGCGUAAAGCGCACGUAGGCGGUCUCGUAAGUCGGGUGUGAAAGCCCUCAGCCUAACUGAGGAACUGCGCCCGAUACUGCGAGGCUAGAGGAUGGGAGGGGAGAGUGGAAUUCCUGGUGGAGCGGUGAAAUGCGUAGAUAUCAGGAGGAAUACCAGUGGCGAAGGCGACUCUCUGGCCCAUUCCUGACGCUGAGGUGCGAGAGCUAGGGGAGCAAACGGG